This 460-nucleotide ribosomal RNA is filed under the name uncultured bacterium. Its description in RNAcentral is "partial 16S ribosomal RNA". It matches the Rfam family "Bacterial small subunit ribosomal RNA", at positions 338 to 795 of the family's 1533-position model. The record is from RNAcentral.
CCUACGGGAGGCAGCAGUGAGGAAUAUUGGUCAAUGGGCGAGAGCCUGAACCAGCCAAGUCGCGUGAGGGAGUACUGCCCUAUGGGUUGUAAACUUCUUUUAUAUGGGAAUAAAACAGGGUAUGCAUACCCUCUUGUAUGUACCAUAUGAAUAAGGAUCGGCUAACUCCGUGCCAGCAGCCGCGGUAAUACGGAGGAUCCGAGCGUUAUCCGGAUUUAUUGGGUUUAAAGGGAGCGUAGGUGGAUUGUUAAGUCAGUUGUGAAAGUUUGCGGCUCAACCGUAAAAUUGCAGUUGAAACUGGCAGUCUUGAGUACAGUAGAGGUGGGCGGAAUUCGUGGUGUAGCGGUGAAAUGCUUAGAUAUCACGAAGAACUCCGAUUGCGAAGGCAGCUCACUGGACUGCAACUGACACUGAUGCUCGAAAGUGUGGGUAUCAAACAGGAUUAGAUACCCUGGUAGUC